This 1063-nucleotide ribosomal RNA is filed under the name Pseudomonas guariconensis. Its description in RNAcentral is "bacterial SSU rRNA". It matches the Rfam family "Bacterial small subunit ribosomal RNA", at positions 273 to 1322 of the family's 1533-position model. The record is from RNAcentral. Lineage: Bacteria; Pseudomonadati; Pseudomonadota; Gammaproteobacteria; Pseudomonadales; Pseudomonadaceae.
GCGACGAUCCGUAACUGGUCUGAGAGGAUGAUCAGUCACACUGGAACUGAGACACGGUCCAGACUCCUACGGGAGGCAGCAGUGGGGAAUAUUGGACAAUGGGCGAAAGCCUGAUCCAGCCAUGCCGCGUGUGUGAAGAAGGUCUUCGGAUUGUAAAGCACUUUAAGUUGGGAGGAAGGGCAGUAAGUUAAUACCUUGCUGUUUUGACGUUACCGACAGAAUAAGCACCGGCUAACUCUGUGCCAGCAGCCGCGGUAAUACAGAGGGUGCAAGCGUUAAUCGGAAUUACUGGGCGUAAAGCGCGCGUAGGUGGUUCUGUUAAGUUGGAUGUGAAAUCCCCGGGCUCAACCUGGGAACUGCAUCCAAAACUGGCGAGCUAGAGUAUGGUAGAGGGUGGUGGAAUUUCCUGUGUAGCGGUGAAAUGCGUAGAUAUAGGAAGGAACACCAGUGGCGAAGGCGACCACCUGGACUGAUACUGACACUGAGUGUGCGAAAGCGUGGGGAGCAAACAGGUAUUAGAUACCCUGGUAGUCCACGCCGUAAACGAUGUCAACUAGCCGUUGGGGUCCUUGAGACUUUAGUGGCGCAGCUAACGCAUUAAGUUGACCGCCUGGGGAGUACGGCCGCAAGGUUAAAACUCAAAUGAAUUGACGGGGGCCCGCACAAGCGGUGGAGCAUGUGGUUUAAUUCGAAGCAACGCGAAGAACCUUACCAGGCCUUGACAUCCAAUGAACUUUCCAGAGAUGGAUUGGUGCCUUCGGGAACAUUGAGACAGGGUGCGGGCAUGGGCUGUCGUCAGCUCGUGUCGUGAGAUGUUGGGUUAAGUCCCGUAACGAGCGCAACCCUUGUCCUUAGUUACCAGCACGUGAUGGUGGGCACUCUAAAGAGACUGCCGGUGACAAACCGGAGGAAGGUGGGGAUGACGUCAAGUCAUCAUGGCCCUUACGGCCUGGGCUACACACGUGCUACAAUGGUCGGUACAGAGGGUUGCCAAGCCGCGAGGUGGAGCUAAUCUCACAAAACCGAUCGUAGUCCGGAUCGCAGUCUGCAACUCGACUGCGUG